RNAcentral lists this long non-coding RNA (410 nucleotides) under Brassica rapa (field mustard). RNAcentral's name for it is "long non-coding RNA (BRAP_LNC000231)". The record is from RNAcentral. Lineage: Eukaryota; Viridiplantae; Streptophyta; Magnoliopsida; Brassicales; Brassicaceae.
CACGCAAUGUGUCUGCCGGAAACCCGUGCCCGGCGGUUGCCGUAGCUGUUUACGCGGCGAAGUGGCUCGCCGUCUCCGAGAGGCCGGCUAUGAUUGCGUCAGCUGUAAAUCCAAAUGGAGAAGCAAUCAUGAAAUCCCUGCAGGUAUAACAAAUUAAUCCCAUUUUAAGUUAAUUUUGAAAUUAUCCAUAACAUAGUUUACUAAUGAAGAUGAUUCGUGAAAAAAAACACGUCAACGGAGUUGGCUAGAUAAUCUAAAUAUAUACUAUAAUGUAUGAAGCAAGUUGUCAAUAUUUUAAUAGUUGGACUAACCAUGAUGUUUAUUUAUUGAAAACAUUAGGUGAGCAUGAAUAUUUGGAAAUUGUGGACCAAUCGGGAUCGAAGAAAGUCGAGAUCCGUGUGGUGAUCGAG